Molecule: unclassified non-coding RNA, 300 nt
Filed under: fungal sp.
Lineage: Eukaryota; Fungi
Description: partial internal transcribed spacer region
Rfam family: Eukaryotic small subunit ribosomal RNA (bases 1-46)
Source: RNAcentral
AAGUCGUAACAAGGUUUCCGUAGGUGAACCUGCGGAAGGAUCAUUAACACUUUUAUCCAAUACAAAAACUAAACGUGAACUUUUCCCCUCCCUAUAUCAAGACUUUUGUAUUGAUAUAGGCUAACCUUUUAUUUUAUUUAAACCCACCUUAAAUUUUUAUAAGUCUUUUGUAACGGAAGACUGACUAACUAAAAAUUUUACUUAAGAUGUCACAUGUUGAUCUCUUAAUUAAUAUUUUUUCUUUACGAAAUAAAUAUUAGUAUAUAAGAACAACUCUUAGCAAUGGAUAUCUUGGUUCUC